Molecule: RNA transcript, 1337 nt
Organism: Wasmannia auropunctata (little fire ant)
Lineage: Eukaryota; Metazoa; Arthropoda; Insecta; Hymenoptera; Formicidae
Gene: Naa30B
Gene name: N-alpha-acetyltransferase 30
Exons: 5
Source: RefSeq, a predicted model, not a curated record
CACCGCGGAGGAAAUCCAAUAUGGUGUCCGUCGUUCAGCGGUUUACUUCGGAUGUCCGUAUUUCGGGAUAGAAUCGUCGUCCGGCGACCGCGUGCCUAGCAACAAUUAUGAAAAUUCGAUUGAAAGCGCCGGGCCGCACGUGAAAGAACUCUCAUGCCACUGUGUCUCGCGUGCGUUCGACAGCCGUGAAGGGAUCCUCCAGGUGCCUCGAGGAGACAGGAGAGCGGCCCCGAGGCGCGCGCUCUCUCUCUCUCCCGCCUGUUAAAUCCUCUGCCUCGGAGGCGCGGAGAGAGAAUUUCGGAGGGAUAGAAAGGGAGGCGGCGAAAAGGAGAAAUUGGGGAGAAAAAUGAAUAGCGACAAGAUGGAGGUUGGCGCGGAAGUGAGCGACCCGGAGGCGGCUGGCAAGAUCAGGGCGAAGAAACGGGACUCGAUAGCGGACGUCACGACCUUAGAUAUAAAGUCACGUCUCAGUUUGGAGACGACGGAGGCGGCUCGCGGCGAGCCGCACGUCAACGGGGUGGCACAGGUGAACGGUAUCUGCGACUCCCCGCAAAGAACUGCCGCCGUCACCGAUCUCUCCCCGCAAUCUAAAACAAUGGAAACUAGUCAUUUAAACCAACAUGAACAAGCAGGAACAUUAUCCAUGGAAAGUAAAGACAACGAUAUCCAAUAUGUUAGCUAUACAAGUGAAUUACAAAUGCCUGAUAUUAUGAAAUUAAUACAGAAGGACCUAAGUGAACCGUAUUCUAUUUACACGUAUAGAUAUUUUAUUCAUAAUUGGCCGAAAUUAUGCUUCCUGGCAAUGCACGGUGAGGAGUGCGUCGGUGCCAUUGUCUGCAAACUAGACAUCCACAGGAAGGUGAUAAAGCGCGGGUAUAUCGCGAUGCUGGCGGUCGAUGUAAAAUAUCGGAAACGGAAGAUCGGGUCGAAUCUGGUGAGGCAGGCGAUCCAAGCGAUGGUGGAGGACGACGCUGACGAGGUGGUGUUGGAGACGGAGAUCACUAACAGGCCGGCGCUGCGCCUGUAUGAGAAUCUUGGAUUUGUGCGGGAUAAACGCUUAUUUCGAUAUUACUUAAACGGCGUGGAUGCGUUGCGACUGAAAUUAUGGCUCAGGUGAAAUUCAUCCGCGUGCUUAUGUCAAUAGCUUGAAGAUAUAAAAAAUAAUGAGUGAUAACCAGUGACAAAAUCGAAACUAUAAAAAGUACUGAAAAUAAUCAGUGUAUCUUGCUGGGGCUCACAUUGAUAAAUGCCUCAAUGCGGAAAGAUUACAAUCCGUUCAGCGAAUUUCAAAAGUUUUGCGAAAAGUUGAUAUAUCCGCAUCAUAGGACGAAUUGCGA